UUAAAUGAGAGUUUGAUCCUGGCUCAGGACGAACGCUGGCGGCGUGCCUAAUACAUGCAAGUGGAGCGCAAGGGAACACACCGUGCUUGUACAUCGUGUUUUCUUGAGUCGCGUACGGGUGAGUAACGCGUAGGUAACAUGCCUAUUAGCGGGGGAUAACUAUUUGAAACGAUAGCUAAUACCGCAUAAGAGAGUUUAACACAUGUUAGACGCUUGAAAGAUGCUAGAGCAUCACUAGUAGAUAGACCUGCGUUGUAUUAGAUAGUAGGUAGGGUAAAGCCCUACAUCGGCGACGACACAUAGCCGACCUGAGAGGGUGACCGGCCACACUGGGACUGAGACACGGCCCAGACUCCUACGGGAGGCAGCAGUAGGGAAUCUCCGGCAAUGGGGGGAACCCUGACAGAGCAACGCCGGGUGAGUGAAGAAGGUUUGCGGAUCGUAAAGCUCUGUUGUAAGAGACGAACGGGUGUGAGAGUGGAAAGCUCACACAGUGACGGUCACUGACCAGAAAGGGACGCCUAACUACGUGCCAGCAGACGCGGUAAUACGUAGGUCCCGAGCGUUGUCCGGAUUUAUUGGGCGUAAAGCGAGCGCAGGCGGUUUUGUAAGUCUGAAGUCAAAGGCAGUGGCUUAACCAUUGUGUGCUUUGGAAACUGCAGGACUUGAUUGCAGAAGGGGAGAGUGGACUUCCCUGUGUAGCGGUGAAAUGGGUAGAUAUAUGGAGGAACUCCGCUGGCGAAAGCGGCUCUCCGGUCUGUAACUG
Streptococcus ratti FA-1 = DSM 20564 is the source of this 766-nucleotide non-coding RNA. The record is from Rfam. NCBI's taxonomy places the organism in Bacteria, Bacillati, Bacillota, Bacilli, Lactobacillales, Streptococcaceae.